ACUGGGCUUGGUGGCACACACCUGUAAUCCCAGCAACAGCUUAGGAGGCUGAGGCAGGAGGAUCACAAGUUCAAGGCCAGCCUCAGCAACUUAGGGAGGCCCUAAGCAACUUAGUGAGACCCUGUCUCAA
RNAcentral lists this small RNA (130 nucleotides) under Marmota monax (woodchuck). The record is from RNAcentral. Lineage: Eukaryota; Metazoa; Chordata; Mammalia; Rodentia; Sciuridae.